CACGUAGGGGGCAAGCGUUGUCCGGAAUCAUUGGGCGUAAAGAGCUCGUAGGCGGCUCAGUAAGUCGGGUGUGAAACCCUCAGGCUCAACCUGGGGACGCCACCCGAUACUGCUGUGGCUAGAGUCCAGUAGGGGAGUGUGGAAUUCCCGGUGUAGCGGUGAAAUGCGCAGAUAUCGGGAGGAACACCGAUGGCGAAGGCAGCACUCUGGGCCGGCACUGACGCUGAGGAGCGAAAGCGUGGGGAGCGAACAGG
Molecule: ribosomal RNA, 254 nt
Filed under: uncultured bacterium
Lineage: Bacteria
Description: partial 16S ribosomal RNA
Rfam family: Bacterial small subunit ribosomal RNA
Source: RNAcentral